RNAcentral lists this ribosomal RNA (429 nucleotides) under Chloroflexota bacterium. RNAcentral's name for it is "Chloroflexi bacterium partial 16S ribosomal RNA". It matches the Rfam family "Bacterial small subunit ribosomal RNA", at positions 355 to 776 of the family's 1533-position model. The record is from RNAcentral. Lineage: Bacteria; Bacillati; Chloroflexota.
UGGGGAAUAUUGCACAAUGGGCGCAAGCCUGAUGCAGCCAUGCCGCGUGUAUGAAGAAGGCCUUCGGGUUGUAAAGUACUUUCAGUCGGGAGGAAGGUGGUAAGGUUAAUAACCUUGGCAAUUGACGUUACCGACAGAAGAAGCACCGGCUAACUCCGUGCCAGCAGCCGCGGUAAUCCGGAGGGUGCAAGCGUUAAUCGGAAUUACUGGGCGUAAAGCGCACGCAGGCGGUUGAUUGAGUCAGAUGUGAAAUCCCCGGGCUUAACCCGGGAAUUGCAUCUGAUACUGGUCAGCUAGAGUCUUGUAGAGGGGGGUAGAAUUCCAUGUGUAGCGAUGAAAUGCGUAGAGAUGUGGAGGAAUACCGGUGGCGAAGGCGGCCCCCUGGACAAAGACUGACGCUCAGGUGCGAAAGCGUGGGGAGCAAACAGG